Regulatory RNA element from Culex pipiens (northern house mosquito), 46 nucleotides. It matches the Rfam family "Histone 3' UTR stem-loop". From Rfam's summary of the family: The mRNAs of metazoan histone genes lack a poly-A tail. 3' end processing occurs at a site between a highly conserved stem-loop (modelled by this family) and a purine rich region around 20 nts downstream (the histone downstream element, or HDE). The stem-loop is bound by a 31 kDa stem-loop binding protein (SLBP - also termed the histone hairpin binding protein, or HBP). Lineage: Eukaryota; Metazoa; Arthropoda; Insecta; Diptera; Culicidae. The record is from Rfam.
CAAACGGCCCUUUUCAGGGCCAUCAAAACAAUCACGAAAGAGUUAU